This 468-nucleotide ribosomal RNA is filed under the name uncultured bacterium. RNAcentral's name for it is "partial 16S ribosomal RNA". It matches the Rfam family "Bacterial small subunit ribosomal RNA", at positions 28 to 507 of the family's 1533-position model. The record is from RNAcentral.
GACGAACGCUGGCGGCGUGCUUAACACAUGCAAGUCGAACGGAAAGGCCCUGCUUUUGUGGGGUGCUCGAGUGGCGAACGGGUGAGUAACACGUGAGUUACCUGCCCUUGACUUUGGGAUAACUUCAGGAAACUGGGGCUACUACCGGAUCGGAUCUCCUGCUGCAUGGUGGGGGUUGGAAAGUUUCGGCGGUUGGGGAUGGACUCGCGGCUUAUCAGCUUGUUGGUGGGGUAGUGGCUUACCAAGGCUUUGACGGGUAGCCGGCCUGAGAGGGUGACCGGCCACAUUGGGAGUGAGAUACGGCACAGACUCCUACGGGAGGCAGCAGUGGGGAAUAUUGCACAAUGGGCGGAAGCCUGGUGCAGCAACGCCGCGUGCGGGAUGACGGCCUUCGGGUUGUAAACCGCUUUCGCCUGUGACGAAGCGUGAGUGACGGUAAUGGGUAAAGAAGCACCGGCUAACUACGUG